RNAcentral lists this ribosomal RNA (255 nucleotides) under uncultured bacterium. RNAcentral's name for it is "partial 16S ribosomal RNA". It matches the Rfam family "Bacterial small subunit ribosomal RNA", at positions 334 to 606 of the family's 1533-position model. The record is from RNAcentral.
GUAGCCUACGGGACGCAGCAGUGGGGAAUAUUGCACAAUGGGGGAAACCCUGAUGCAGCGACGCCGCGUGAGUGAAGAAGCGCCUCGGCGCGUAAAGCUCUGUCAGCAGGAACGAUAAUGACGGUACCUGAAGAAGAAGCCCCGGCUAACUACGUGCCAGCAGCCGCGGUAAUACGUAGGGGGCAAGCGUUAUCCGGAUUUACUGGGUGUAAAGGGAGCGUAGACGGCGGGGCAAGUCUGGAGUGAAAGGACUGG